RNAcentral lists this ribosomal RNA (494 nucleotides) under uncultured bacterium. Its description in RNAcentral is "partial 16S ribosomal RNA". It matches the Rfam family "Bacterial small subunit ribosomal RNA", at positions 28 to 507 of the family's 1533-position model. The record is from RNAcentral.
GACGAACGCUGGCGGCGCGCUUGACACAUGCAAGUCGAACGGAAAGGCCUGCUUUCCCUUGUGGAUUGCGGGUACUCGAGUGGCGAACGGGUGAGUAACACGUGAGUGAUCUGCCCCCAACUUGGGUAUAAGCCUGGGAAACUGGGUCUAAUUCCCGAUAGGACUGCAGGGUGGUGCCUGUGGUGGAACACGAUUUUCUAGUGGUUGGGGAUGAGCUCGCGGCCUAUGAGCUUGUUGGUGGGGUAAUGGCCGACCAAGGCGGCGACGGGCAGCCGGCGUGAGAGGAUGUAGGGGCACAUUGGGAAUGAGCAGCGACCCAGAGACCGAGGGGAGGCAGCGGCUGGGAAUGGUGCAAGAGGUGGGGAAGCCUGAAGAAGCGACGCAGGGCGGAUGAUGACGUGCUUCGGGAUGUAUGCUCCUUUCGGCGUCGAGAAGCCCACCUGGUUGGAAGGGUAGUGACGGUAGUGGUAGAAGAAGCACCGGCUAACUACGUG